CUGAAAUGAGGCAAGCAGAGGGAACCGUUAGAGAGGUGUGUGAGUUGUCUGAGUGAGACACCAGUCUGGCCUGAAUGAGGAGGGAGAAGAGACCGUCGGAGGACCAGGAGUUCCACUGUGAGCAUGUCCGAGGGAGCUGAGAAGCAUCCAAGUGAAGGCGUCGAGGCAAGCAGCUGGCGGUGGAAGCCCAGAGCCUGGUCUGGGCUGGACAAGCGCUUGGCAUCAUUCCCAGGGUUGGCCGCUCCAUGGGGUUGGUGUACUGAUUAAAUGGAACAGUGUGUGUAAGGAGUGUAAUUUGUUCUCAAGUUAUUCCCAUGGUCACUGUAAGUGCUGCCAUCGCUGGCAAGAUGCCACUGCCACCAUAUGCUGUGCCAUGUGCCUCCCCUUCUCUGCUCUGCU
This is a long non-coding RNA of Manis pentadactyla (Chinese pangolin), 399 nucleotides long. RefSeq lists it as uncharacterized. The transcript is spliced from 4 exons. Lineage: Eukaryota; Metazoa; Chordata; Mammalia; Pholidota; Manidae. The record is from RefSeq and is a predicted model, not a curated record.